This 287-nucleotide ribosomal RNA is filed under the name uncultured bacterium. RNAcentral describes it as "partial 16S ribosomal RNA". It matches the Rfam family "Bacterial small subunit ribosomal RNA", at positions 333 to 619 of the family's 1533-position model. The record is from RNAcentral.
CAACCUACGGAGGGCAGCAGUGAGGAAUAUUGGUCAAUGGGCGGGAGCCUGAACCAGCCAAGUCGCGUGAGGGACGACGGCCCUAUGGGUUGUAAACCUCUUUUGUCGGAGAACAAAACCCGGGACGUGUCCCGGACUGCGUGUAUCCGAAGAAAAAGCAUCGGCUAACUCCGUGCCAGCAGCCGCGGUAAUACGGAGGAUGCGAGCGUUAUCCGGAUUUAUUGGGUUUAAAGGGUGCGUAGGCGGUCCGUUAAGUCAGCGGUAAAAUUGCGGGGCUCAACCCCGUC